Phaethon lepturus (White-tailed tropicbird) is the source of this 1282-nucleotide long non-coding RNA. RefSeq lists it as uncharacterized. The transcript is spliced from 3 exons. The record is from RefSeq and is a predicted model, not a curated record. Lineage: Eukaryota; Metazoa; Chordata; Aves; Phaethontiformes; Phaethontidae.
GGCUGUUAUGACUUGGUGACCAGUUUUAUGGAAACAAAUAUGGGAAUCAUAGCUGGAGUGGCUUUUGGGAUUGCAUUCUCACAGUUGAUCGGGAUGCUGCUGGCAUGCUGUCUGUCCCGGUUUAUUACUGCUAACCAGUACGAGAUGGUGUAACAAGUCUUUCAGGAGUGUGAAGUCCAGAGCCUGUCUGAAGGUCAGGAGCUGCAGAAUUGGAGAAAGACUGACACGAAUGUUAUAGCACACACUGUCUCUCGCACGCACGCACGCACACCCACACCCCCACAAGCAAGCCCGUGCGCGCGCACACUUGCACCCCACCUCCCGAACUCUGUCCCAUGCGUAGUGUACCAUUCUGUGAAGUACCGCGGUGCCACCGAGAGCAGCCGAGUCCCCUCGGCCUCUGGACCCAGACCCCAUCCCCGCGGCUCGGCAUAGGACGGCACCGUAUGUAUGUUCUUGGUCACGCAGUAGUUGCAUUGUAAGUUAACAAAGGUAAUUCAUUAACAGCAUUGAUCGGGCUGUGCAUGUAGUGACUGGAGGGCAUAAUUAGCCUUUCACCAUGGUUAAUAAGUGUUGCACACGUUCAUAUAAACCGGUAUAUGAAAUAUAUAUAUUCUUUUGGUUUUAUCUUAAUUUCGUGUUUUGUUUAUUGCUUUACUAAGGUUUUCAUCCUUUCCCCCUUCCCUGCGCCUGCCCCCUUCCCCAAAAACAAAGGAAUCAGUAACAUAACGUAAAGAUACUUGAAAAUGAUGUUAAAAUGUUGUGCUUGAAGGGAACCGUUACUCCUGAUGUUCUUCUACAUCUUUGAUUCUUACUCAGUGUUGUAUGCCUAGUGCGUAUCCCGGUAGGCUUUGUCUAGUGCAUUUUGCCUCUGAACCCGAUCCUGUGUAAUACUGUUAUUAAGCUGUGUUGUUGCUUACUGUGAAGGCAGGAAUUUUGCUUCCUUUAUUUUUAUUAGGUAGUUAUGAACUAAUUGAACUGUGCUGUACUGCGGCCUUCAUACUUUUUUCCUGUUCUUUCUUUUUCUUUCUUUUUGCAUUGAGGUUGCAGUCACCAAAUACAUUGUUGAAACAAAUCGAAAUAAAAACACACACACACAAAUAAAAAAAAUCACAAAAAAACAGGCAUAUGAAAUAUUUUUGGGGGAAAGCAAAAGUUUAAAAACCUUUUUAAAAAAAUAGAACUUUUUUAAUAAUGCCUCUGUCUAGCAUGCCAACGAGAAUGCAUUGAUAUUGUGAGUAUUUGUGAUAUACGUAUUAAUAAAUGGAACCAUUACAGAUUU